RNAcentral lists this ribosomal RNA (465 nucleotides) under uncultured bacterium. Its description in RNAcentral is "partial 16S ribosomal RNA". It matches the Rfam family "Bacterial small subunit ribosomal RNA", at positions 28 to 507 of the family's 1533-position model. The record is from RNAcentral.
GACGAACGCUGGCGGCGUGCUUAACACAUGCAAGUCGAACGGAAAGGCCCUGCUUGCAGGGUACUCGAGUGGCGAACGGGUGAGUAACACGUGGGUGAUCUGCCCUGCACUUCGGGAUAAGCCUGGGAAACUGGGUCUAAUACCGGAUAGGAGCCAUUUUUAGUGUGAUGGUUGGAAAGUUUUUUCGGUGUAGGAUGAGCUCGCGGCCUAUCAGCUUGUUGGUGGGGUAAUGGCCUACCAAGGCGGCGACGGGUAGCCGGCCUGCGAGGGUGGACGGCCACAUUGGGACUGAGAUACGGCCCAGACUCCUACGGGAGGCAGGAGGGGGGAAUAUUGCACAAUGGGCGCAAGCCUGAUGCAGCGACGCCGCGUGGGGGAUGACGGCCUUCGGGUUGUAAACUCCUUUCGCUAGGGACGAAGCUUUUUGUGACGGUACCUAGAUAAGAAGCACCGGCUAACUACGUG